UGGGGAAUUUUGGACAAUGGGCGAAAGCCUGAUCCAGCAAUGCCGCGUGUGUGAAGAAGGCCUUCGGGUUGUAAAGCACUUUUGUCCGGAAAGAAAUGGCUCUGGUUAAUACCUGGGGUCGAUGACGGUACCGGAAGAAUAAGGACCGGCUAACUACGUGCCAGCAGCCGCGGUAAUACGUAGGGUCCAAGCGUUAAUCGGAAUUACUGGGCGUAAAGCGUGCGCAGGCGGUUGUGCAAGACCGAUGUGAAAUCCCCGAGCUUAACUUGGGAAUUGCAUUGGUGACUGCACGGCUAGAGUGUGUCAGAGGGGGGUAGAAUUCCACGUGUAGCAGUGAAAUGCGUAGAGAUGUGGAGGAAUACCGAUGGCGAAGGCAGCCCCCUGGGAUAACACUGACGCUCAUGCGCGAAAGCGUGGGGAGCAAACAGGAUUAGAUACCCUGGUAGUCCACGCCCUAAACGAUGUCAACUAGUUGUUGGGGGAUUCAUUUUCCCUUGAGUAACGUAGCUAACGCGUGAAGUUGACCGCCUGGGGAGUACGGUCGCAAGAUUAAAACUCAAAGGAA
RNAcentral lists this ribosomal RNA (565 nucleotides) under uncultured bacterium. Its description in RNAcentral is "partial 16S ribosomal RNA". It matches the Rfam family "Bacterial small subunit ribosomal RNA", at positions 355 to 909 of the family's 1533-position model. The record is from RNAcentral.